This 475-nucleotide ribosomal RNA is filed under the name uncultured organism. Its description in RNAcentral is "partial 16S ribosomal RNA". It matches the Rfam family "Bacterial small subunit ribosomal RNA", at positions 334 to 800 of the family's 1533-position model. The record is from RNAcentral.
CACUCCUGCGGGAGGCAGCAGUGGGGAAUUUUGGACAAUGGGGGCAACCCUGAUCCAGCAAUGCCGCGUGAGUGAAGAAGGCCUUCGGGUUGUAAAGCUCUUUUGUCAGGGAAGAAACGGUGGUGGCGAAUAACUACUACUAAUGACGGUACCUGAAGAAUAAGCACCGGCUAACUACGUGCCAGCAGCCGCGGUAAUACGUAGGGUGCAAGCGUUAAUCGGAAUUACUGGGCGUAAAGCGUGCGCAGGCGGUUGUGUAAGUCAGAUGUGAAAUCCCCGGGCUCAACCUGGGAAUUGCAUUUGAGACUGCACGGCUAGAGUGUGUCAGAGGGGGGUAGAAUUCCACGUGUAGCAGUGAAAUGCGUAGAUAUGUGGAGGAAUACCGAUGGCGAAGGCAGCCCCCUGGGAUAACACUGACGCUCAUGCACGAAAGCGUGGGGAGCAAACAGGAUUAGAUACCCUUGUAGUCCCAUGA